Molecule: ribosomal RNA, 373 nt
Filed under: uncultured eukaryote
Lineage: Eukaryota
Description: partial 18S ribosomal RNA
Rfam family: Eukaryotic small subunit ribosomal RNA
Source: RNAcentral
CAAUAGCGUAUAUUAAAGUUGUUGCAGUUAAAAAGCUCGUAGUUGGAUUUCUGAGAGGAUGCCAAUGUCCUUCUGUGUAAGUGUGCAGCGGCGUCUUUUCAUCCUUCUGUUAACACCUCUUGGCAUUCGUUUGCUGGUGGUGGGCUCAGAUAUUUUACCUUGAGAAAAUUAGAGUGUUUCAGGCAGGCUAGGCCGGAAUACAUUAGCAUGGAAUAAUGGAAUAGGACUACGGUCUCUUUGUUGGUUUGAGGGACUGCAGUAAUGAUUAAUAGGGAUAGUUGGGGGCAUUAGUAUUUAAUUGCCAGAGGUGGAAUUCUCGGAUUUGUUAAAGACUAACUUAUGCGAAAGCAUUUGCCAAGGAUGUUUUCAUUAA